CUACGGGAUGCAGCAGUCGAGAAUCUUCCGCAAUGGGCGAAAGCCUGACGGAGCGACGUCGCGUGUUCGAAGAAGUCCUUCGGGAUGUAAAGAACUUUUAUAGGGGGAGAAGUGCGCUUGCGCAUUGACGGUACCCUAUGAAUAAGGGGAGGCUAAUCACGUGCCAGAAGCCUCGGUAAUACGUGAUCCCCGAGCGUUAUCCGGAUUUAGUGGGCGUAAAGAGUUCGUAGGUUUUUUGUUAAGUUUUUUGUUAAAUAUCAGGGCUUAACCUUGAAAGUGCAAAAAAAACUGGCAAAAUAGAGGGCGUUAGAGGCUGAUAGAACGGUCAAAGUAGGGGUGAUAUCCGUUGAUAUUGACCGGAAUACCAAAAGCGAAGGCAUUCAGCUGGGGCGACCCUGACAUUGAGGAACGAAAGCGUAGGUAGCAAAGAGGAUUAGAUACCCGGGUAGUC
RNAcentral lists this ribosomal RNA (451 nucleotides) under uncultured bacterium. RNAcentral's name for it is "partial 16S ribosomal RNA". It matches the Rfam family "Bacterial small subunit ribosomal RNA", at positions 339 to 795 of the family's 1533-position model. The record is from RNAcentral.